GGGUUGUGAGGUUAAGCGACUAAGCGUACACGGUGGAUGCCCUGGCAGUCAGAGGCGAUGAAGGACGUGCUAAUCUGCGAAAAGCGUCGGUAAGGUGAUAUGAACCGUUAUAACCGGCGAUGUCCGAAUGGGGAAACCCAGUGCAAUUCGUUGCACUAUCGUUAACUGAAUACAUAGGUUAACGAGGCGAACCGGGGGAACUGAAACAUCUAAGUACCCCGAGGAAAAGAAAUCAACCGAGAUUCCCCCAGUAGCGGCGAGCGAACGGGGAGCAGCCCAGAGUCUGAAUCAGCUUGUGUGUUAGUGGAACGGUCUGGAAAGUCCGACGGUACAGGGUGAUAGUCCCGUACACCAAAAUGCACAGGCUGUGAACUCGAAGAGUAGGGCGGGACACGUGGUAUCCUGUCUGAAUAUGGGGGGACCAUCCUCCAAGGCUAAAUACUCCUGACUGACCGAUAGUGAACCAGUACCGUGAGGGAAAGGCGAAAAGAACCCCGGCGAGGGGAGUGAAAAAGAACCUGAAACCGUGUACGUACAAGCAGUGGGAGCACCUUCGGGUGUGACUGCGUACCUUUUGUAUAAUGGGUCAGCGACUUAUAUUCUGUAGCAAGGUUAACCGUAUAGGGGAGCCGCAGGGAAACCGAGUCUUAACUGGGCGUUAAGUUGCAGGGUAUAGACCCGAAACCCGGUGAUCUAGCCAUGGGCAGGUUGAAGGUUGGGUAACACUAACUGGAGGACCGAACCGACUAAUGUUGAAAAAUUAGCGGAUGACUUGUGGCUGGGGGUGAAAGGCCAAUCAAACCGGGAGAUAGCUGGUUCUCCCCGAAAGCUAUUUAGGUAGCGCCUCGUGAACUCAUCUUCGGGGGUAGAGCACUGUUUCGGCUAGGGGGUCAUCCCGACUUACCAACCCGAUGCAAACUACGAAUACCGAAGAAUGUUAUCACGGGAGACACACGGCGGGUGCUAACGUCCGUCGUGAAGAGGGAAACAACCCAGACCGCCAGCUAAGGUCCCAAAGUCAUGGUUAAGUGGGAAACGAUGUGGGAAGGCACAGACAGCCAGGAUGUUGGCUUAGAAGCAGCCAUCAUUUAAAGAAAGCGUAAUAGCUCACUGGUCGAGUCGGCCUGCGCGGAAGAUGUAACGGGGCUAAACCAUGCACCGAAGCUGCGGCAGCGACACUAUGUGUUGUUGGGUAGGGGAGCGUUCUGUAAGCCUGCGAAGGUGUGCUGUGAGGCAUGCUGGAGGUAUCAGAAGUGCGAAUGCUGACAUAAGUAACGAUAAAGCGGGUGAAAAGCCCGCUCGCCGGAAGACCAAGGGUUCCUGUCCAACGUUAAUCGGGGCAGGGUGAGUCGACCCCUAAGGCGAGGCCGAAAGGCGUAGUCGAUGGGAAACAGGUUAAUAUUCCUGUACUUGGUGUUACUGCGAAGGGGGACGGAGAAGGCUAUGUUAGCCGGGCGACGGUUGUCCCGGUUUAAGCAUGUAGGCUGAUUGUCCAGGCAAAUCCGGAUAAUCAAGGCUGAGGUGUGAUGACGAGGCACUACGGUGCUGAAGUAACAAAUGCCCUGCUUCCAGGAAAAGCCUCUAAGCAUCAGGUAACAUUAAAUCGUACCCCAAACCGACACAGGUGGUCAGGUAGAGAAUACCAAGGCGCUUGAGAGAACUCGGGUGAAGGAACUAGGCAAAAUGGUGCCGUAACUUCGGGAGAAGGCACGCUGGUGUGUAGGUGAAGUCCCUGCGGAUGGAGCUGAGACCAGUCGAAGAUACCAGCUGGCUGCAACUGUUUAUUAAAAACACAGCACUGUGCAAACACGAAAGUGGACGUAUACGGUGUGACGCCUGCCCGGUGCCGGAAGGUUAAUUGAUGGGGUUAUCCGUAAGGAGAAGCUCUUGAUCGAAGCCCCGGUAAACGGCGGCCGUAACUAUAACGGUCCUAAGGUAGCGAAAUUCCUUGUCGGGUAAGUUCCGACCUGCACGAAUGGCGUAAUGAUGGCCAGGCUGUCUCCACCCGAGACUCAGUGAAAUUGAACUCGCUGUGAAGAUGCAGUGUACCCGCGGCAAGACGGAAAGACCCCGUGAACCUUUACUAUAGCUUGACACUGAACAUUGAGCCUUGAUGUGUAGGAUAGGUGGGAGGCUUUGAAGCGUGGACGCCAGUCUGCGUGGAGCCAACCUUGAAAUACCACCCUUUAAUGUUUGAUGUUCUAACGUUGGCCCCUGACCGGGGUUGCGGACAGUGUCUGGUGGGUAGUUUGACUGGGGCGGUCUCCUCCCAAAGCGUAACGGAGGAGCACGAAGGUUAGCUAAUCCUGGUCGGACAUCAGGAGGUUAGUGCAAUGGCAUAAGCUAGCUUGACUGCGAGCGUGACGGCGCGAGCAGGUGCGAAAGCAGGUCAUAGUGAUCCGGUGGUUCUGAAUGGAAGGGCCAUCGCUCAACGGAUAAAAGGUACUCCGGGGAUAACAGGCUGAUACCGCCCAAGAGUUCAUAUCGACGGCGGUGUUUGGCACCUCGAUGUCGGCUCAUCACAUCCUGGGGCUGAAGUAGGUCCCAAGGGUAUGGCUGUUCGCCAUUUAAAGUGGUACGCGAGCUGGGUUUAGAACGUCGUGAGACAGUUCGGUCCCUAUCUGCCGUGGGCGCUGGAGAAUUGAGGGGGGCUGCUCCUAGUACGAGAGGACCGGAGUGGACGCAUCACUGGUGUUCGGGUUGUCAUGCCAAUGGCACUGCCCGGUAGCUAAAUGCGGAAGAGAUAAGUGCUGAAAGCAUCUAAGCACGAAACUUGCCCCGAGAUGAGUUCUCCCUGAGACUUUAAGUCUCCUGAAGGAACGUUAAAGACGAUGACGUUGAUAGGCCGGGUGUGUAAGCGCAGCGAUGCGUUGAGCUAACCGGUACUAAUGAACCGUGAGGCUUAACCUUACAACGCCGAAG
This 2922-nucleotide ribosomal RNA is filed under the name Klebsiella pneumoniae. Its description in RNAcentral is "bacterial LSU rRNA". It matches the Rfam family "Bacterial large subunit ribosomal RNA". RNAcentral also lists the same sequence under 1 other name. The record is from RNAcentral. Lineage: Bacteria; Pseudomonadati; Pseudomonadota; Gammaproteobacteria; Enterobacterales; Enterobacteriaceae.